UUUUCUGUAUAUGUCUGUUAAGUUAGUUAACAGCUUCUUUAAAAUGACCAGCUGUGAAGAAGCAGUGGUGACAUAAAGAAUGAUUCCAGCAUGACACUAGGACUCAGAGUCAACGCCCCACUCACCUUUCCCUCAGGGUUGCAGACCAGUACACCACAGUGAAGGGAGAAGCCUCUGAAUAACAAGGGUCACCAAUGAGGAGAUGAUGACAGU
RNAcentral lists this long non-coding RNA (213 nucleotides) under Cricetulus griseus (Chinese hamster). RNAcentral's name for it is "lncRNA (ENSCGRG00000024570.1)". The record is from RNAcentral. Lineage: Eukaryota; Metazoa; Chordata; Mammalia; Rodentia; Cricetidae.